Molecule: ribosomal RNA, 395 nt
Filed under: uncultured bacterium
Lineage: Bacteria
Description: partial 16S ribosomal RNA
Rfam family: Bacterial small subunit ribosomal RNA
Source: RNAcentral
AUACGUAGGGUGCAAGCGUUAAUCGGAAUUACUGGGCGUAAAGCGUGCGCAGGCGGUUUUGUAAGAAAGAGGUGAAAUCCCCGGGCUCCACCUGGGAACUGCCUUUGUGACUGCAAGGCUAGAGGACGGCAGAGGGGGAUGGAAUUCCGCGUGUAGCAGUGGAAUGCGUAGAUAUGCGGAGGAACACCGAUGGCGAAGGCAAUCCCCUGGGCCUGUACUGACGCUCAUGCACGAAAGCGUGGGGAGCAAACAGGAUUAGAUACCCUGGUAGUCCACGCCCUAAACGAUGUCAACUGGUUGUUGGGUCUUCAUUGACUCAGUAACGAAGCUAACGCGUGAAGUUGACCGCCUGGGGAGUACGGCCGCAAGGUUGAAACUCAAAUGAAUUGACGGGG